RNAcentral lists this transfer-messenger RNA (353 nucleotides) under Rhodospirillaceae bacterium. It matches the Rfam family "Alphaproteobacteria transfer-messenger RNA". Rfam says of the family: Bacterial tmRNA, also known as 10Sa RNA or SsrA, is named for its dual tRNA and mRNA-like properties. Its role is to liberate the mRNA from a stalled ribosome. Lineage: Bacteria; Pseudomonadati; Pseudomonadota; Alphaproteobacteria; Rhodospirillales; Rhodospirillaceae. The record is from RNAcentral.
AUCUUUGCAAAAGGUCUCGCCAGAGCCUAUAUUUAAGGGGUCGGGUAACCGACUAUGACGAUAAACGUUUUGCGGAAUAAGCGUAACGGACCCGGGGGCAGUACCCGGCGCCUCCACCAGUUAGCCCCGGCCGGGCUUUUUAAGAUUUUCUUUUCAAAAGCCCGGCCAGGCAUUUAAGGGGGCGAUAUAGGAUCGACGGGCGUAGUAAAGGCAUAAUUUUCGUUCGGCAUGAUACCCACCGUAUCGGGGUCAAUUUUACAAAUGCAAACGAUAAUGAUGCAUUUGCGGUUGCAGCCUAACGGCUAAUGUAACCACGGGGUUCGGGGGGCACCUGGCAACAGAAGCCCCCCACU